RNAcentral lists this long non-coding RNA (1593 nucleotides) under Sus scrofa (pig). RNAcentral describes it as "lncRNA (ENSSSCG00060039261.1)". Lineage: Eukaryota; Metazoa; Chordata; Mammalia; Artiodactyla; Suidae. The record is from RNAcentral.
GAGUGUCUUGCUCCGCCUUCAGCUGAGGUGUGGGCGCAGCCCUUUUCCACGAGGAGCUCUGGUGAACAAGUGCGAGUCCUCUACAUGUGGUGCUCUGCAAGCAAGUGAAAAUAGACUAAGCUCAAAGGAAAGAAAAGCGCUUGAUGACAAUUUUACCAAAAUGCUACCAUGUCCAUUGAUCACCUUUGAGAUUAAAAGAAAUAUUGUGAGGAAGACUGGUGUAUGAUCAGUCAGAUUAAUGAUUACUUAAGGUGAAAUGGAAGCUAAAAAAGAUUCAACAUCAGUCAUCUAUGGAAAAUGAAUAGGUGAUCUUCUAGGUAUGUUCCAAGCUUUAGUAAUUCAUGACCUAAGGAAUAACUGUAGUCAUGAAGUUAAGAUGUAAAUGUUUAAUUACAAUAAUUACCAACAAUGUUUCUGUACACUAUAGUAGAGAAGCUAGAGAAAAGUGUAUGUGAGUGUAAAACACUUAAAGUUGAUAUACAAGAGAAAUGUUUUAUUAAUUUAUUGGAAGAUAUUUCAUUUUUCUCAUACAAAAGUAUUACCUAGUGAUAUCUAAUGACUUUCCAUGUUUUGUUGUUAUUAUCAUUUUGACCUCUUGUGUUUCAUAAUAUGUUUGCAAACAAUUACAUCCAUCUAGGGGAAAUUGUUUAGAGACCUAACAGCCUUCUAUGAGUCAAAAUCAUUUGUGCAUAGAACAAGUAAAAAUCAUUUAACAUAUAGGAAUAUAACAUGUAUAGCUGGUAAAUCUGAAAUUGCUAAUGUAGAUUGCCACUCCAGUCAAUAUAUAUCAAACAUUUCUAUCAAAUGUACCAUCUAUCAUGUAUGUGCAUUGCUUUUGUAGUUUUUAUUUCCCUUUUUAUUGUAGAAAGUAUAUAUUACUGUGACUAAAAACUACUCUUUGGGGAAUACAGUGGUUUCCAGGUCAGUGGAAAUGUGGAUUUAAAUAUUAAAAAGUGGAGUAGUUUAACCCUAGUUUGACCUUUAUCACCUCUCAGGUGAAUUGGGUGUAUUUGAAAGAAUGUAUCUGAAAAACAACAGAAUAGCGAAAAAAUUACAUCUGUGUAACCCUGUGGUCAAUCCAAUAACAGUAUUUUUAAUGAAUAAGUUCAAAACAGUAUACAUGUGUGUAUGUCCACUGUGUCUCUUUGUUUGUGCAUAUUUGUAUUUAUGUACUUAUGUAUUUUCAAUGCAUUGUCUGUCUUGUGAAUAUUUCAGUCUUUCAAGACAUCAUUUGCUUUUUCUACCAAAAUAUCAAUCUCCAUUUAUAUUACUCUAGCAAGUAAACUUCAAGCUUCAAAUAAGUUAAGAAAUACUGCCAUGAAAGCUGGAAAGAAGGAGUCUAAAGACCAACUUAUUGGAAUUCCUGCUAUGGCUCAGUGGGUUAAGAACCUAACUAGCAUCCAUGAGGAUGUGGGGUUCAUUCCUUGGCCUUGCUCAGUGGAUUAAGGAUCCGGUGUUGCUGUGAGCUCUGGUGUAGGUUGCAGACACGGCUCGGAUCCUGUGUUGCUGUGGCUGUGGUAUAGGGCCACAGCUGCAGCUCCAAUUCUACUCCUGGCCUGGGAACUUCCUUAUGCCAUGGAUGUGGCCCUAAAA